RNAcentral lists this long non-coding RNA (1564 nucleotides) under Canis lupus dingo (dingo). RNAcentral's name for it is "lncRNA (ENSCAFG00020024645.1)". The record is from RNAcentral. Lineage: Eukaryota; Metazoa; Chordata; Mammalia; Carnivora; Canidae.
CACAGGCGGACGGCUGAGGCGGAGGCCCUGCUGCAAGACGGCGGGCGGCCCGGGCCAUCCCUGGGACGCCUGACCCUGCAGGCUGCCAACCAGAGCCUCCGCCUGGCGGCGCAAGGCUGCCAGGAACCCCUGCUGGGCCGCGUGGAGUCCAGAAUCACAGCCAUUGGGGCCCAGGUGCGAGCCCAGCUGGAGAAGAAGGUCCGAGGCUUGGAUGCCUACGUGGAGAGGUUCCGGCGCCUGGUGGGUAGUGCGUCGGGGUCUUGGGGACACACUUGGAGAGUGGGAGGCUGUGUGUGGAGAUGCACCCCCAGAACCCCCCGCCUGGCCUGUGCCCCCCACUCAGCAGGCGUGAGGACUUUCUGGAAUGCUGGGUGCCCCAGACCCUCACACUGAUCCUGCCUCGAUUUCCCUGCCCAGGUGCAGCCGGCGGGCACCCUGGACAGUGUGGUGGGCCCCAUCCUGCAGCUAUCCCACGCGGGACUGGACGCUGUGCUGGCGAGUGGCCGGGCGGCGGCCUCGCUGUGGGGCCAGAGCCAGGCCAGGCGGGCGCUGACACACCACUUGCCGCUCUACCUGGAGAGGCUGCAGGCCGGGCUGGAGCAGCUGCGGAAUGAGCUGGAACGGCCCCUGGCCACGCUGAAGGAUGCCUACCUGGAGGUGACACUGCGGCCCCUGGACGAGCUGUGGCAGGAACGGGCGCAGGAGGCCGUGCAGCUGUUGCGGGCCGUGCGGCCCAGGCCCAUCGGGGCAGCCCUGGAGCUGGUGAGGUGGGGCGCAGGAGUGGGACGCGGCCCUGCCCGGCCAGGCGGACCCUGAUGGCUCUCGCCGCCCGCCUCCCCUGCAGGCCGCCCGCCAGAUGCUGUCCUGGGCCGAAGCCACUUUGUCACGGGCCCUGAGGAGGCUCUGCAAGCCGUUGCUGGCUCUGUACAGCUUCUCAGCCAGAAACUGCUCUGUGAUGGUGACACUGCCGCUGCUGCCUGCGGGGGACGAGCCCCUGACCAUGGCCCGGGUGACCGGCCACCUGGUGGAGGAGAAGCUGCUGCGGCCCCUCCGCGAGCUGUACGGGACCCGCGUGCUGGCCGAGUACUACCGGCUGCAGCGUCUCCUGCUGGAGAGCCCCCAUGACUACCAUGCUGUGGUGGCCGGGGACAGGCAUGUGGUAACCUUCGAUGGCCAGGUGUGGAGUCUUCGUGGCCACUGUGGCAGUCUGCUGCUGGCCAAGGACUUCGCCCACAACACGUUCUCGCUGACGCUGAACCGGGCCCCUUCAGGACUCACAUCCCUGUCCGUGGAGCUGAACCACACGACCCUGGUCCUCUACCCAAGCCUAAAGACCUACAAGCUGUACGACUCCUCCCUGCCUACGGAGAUCUGUCCGCACCUGGAUCUGCCACCUGCUAAGACAAGGGGGGACAUUCCCAAGAUCGAACUGACCAGUGAGGACGGCAUCUCAGUCACCUAUGAUGUGCGAACGGGCCUCUGCAGCCUGACUCUGGGCCUCUGGCUCCAUGGUGGGUCUGGGCCCAGUUGGCAGCCUCCGAGCCAGUGGAGUUGGCUUUGCUGA